Molecule: ribosomal RNA, 254 nt
Filed under: uncultured prokaryote
Description: partial 16S ribosomal RNA
Rfam family: Bacterial small subunit ribosomal RNA
Source: RNAcentral
UACGGGGGGGGCAAGCGUUGUUCGGAAUUACUGGGCGUAAAGGGCUCGUAGGCGGCCAACUAAGUCAGACGUGAAAUCCCUCGGCUCAACCGGGGAAUUGCGUCUGAUACUGGAUGGCUUGAGUUUGGGAGAGGGAUGCGGAAUUCCAGGUGUAGCGGUGAAAUGCGUAGAUAUCUGGAGGAACACCGGUGGCGAAGGCGGCAUCCUGGACCAACACUGACGCUGAGGAGCGAAAGCCAGGGGAGCAAACGGGA